Molecule: long non-coding RNA, 3459 nt
Filed under: Heterocephalus glaber (naked mole-rat)
Lineage: Eukaryota; Metazoa; Chordata; Mammalia; Rodentia; Bathyergidae
Description: lncRNA (ENSHGLG00100046516.1)
Source: RNAcentral
GCCCCGGCUGGCGGCGUGGCCUUACCGACUGCGCUCGACCCCGGGGCUCCUUUCCAGGGACCCAGCGGUGCCCGCUGCCGCCCCGAUUUCAGCAUCGCAGCCCGGCUCGCGCAGGGAGAGCAAAGUGAGGGCGCCCCCUCCCCUGCGCCUCCUUCCCGGCUCCGGGCCCGGCGCCCGGUUAAAGAGGAGAAGGGGAAGGUAUGCAAAUGACAAGCAAAUUGGAGGAGCCCGGCCGAGAGGCGGCUAUAAUAAACCAGACAAAGGCGCAGGGCUGGGGAGGAGCCCGGAGUUUGCGCCCGGGGAGGUGGGAAGGGGAGGCUCGUCGGAGAGCGGCGACCCUGGCGAACAAAAAGCGACCCGGUCUCCUGCGCGGUCCUCUCUCCCGAAAAGGGAGGGCGGAGACGCGGGGAGCAAGCGGACGCCUCCCCGCACCGCAGAAGCGGGACACAAAAGGUGACAAGUCCGGCGACCCCAGCCCCUGGCAGGCAGGGGAAGGAGAUAAAAGCCAGGGAUCCCUCAGCCUCGGGAGCGGGGCCGCGCCGCGCCGGGUCCCGGCUCGGAAAGUGUCCCGAGGCUGUGACGCGGUGCAUCCAACAUCACCACUUUCGGGGCGCGCGCGGCUGAGUGCGAGGCGCCGCUCCGUGCCACUCUCCCGCAGCCGCGCGCGAUCGGGGCAGGGGAGGCACUCGCGAGGGAGAGGUACUUACGGCGCGAGGGCGGCGGACGGGCCUCGCGCGCCCUCUCCCCUCGCUCGCUCUCCCUGUCGCCGGCAGGGAGCGGAAAACACGCGCGCGCUGGUUCGCGAGUGGCGGACGCGCGGGCGGAGCGGGCCGGUGAGUCGGCGCGGGCGGGCGCACCGGCCCCGGCUCCUGAGCGUGCGCCGCUCGGCUCGCCCGCUGCAGCGCCGUGGGUUUCCGAGCGCUCCCUCGGCUGAGGGCUCCGCUCCGCAAGAUUUACUUUAAGACGCAGCUGAAGGAAACAGGAAGACUGCACGUCACAGUCCGACUGACGUACCCGGCCCCAGCACCCAAUCGCGAGGCGCCUUCGGAUUCAAGGGGGGACGGCGAGGCAAGAGAACUUGGGAGGAAAAAAAUAUAUAAAAGGGGUGGGUGUGGGGGUGCGGGCUGGGGAGAGAGGAGGGAGAGCGGAGCGGCGGCUCCUCCCCGGCCCCCUCCCCGGCCGCGCUGCUCCGGGCGCUGCGACGCCGGCCGGGCCGCCGAGAGCCAUCUGCGGGCCGCGCGCCGCUCCCGGGCAGCCGGUCCUCGCCGCCGUGUACGCGCGUGUGUGUGUGUGCGCGCGUGUGUGUGCUUGUGCGUGUUUUUUUCCAUUUCCCAGAUACAGCUGAUCGGGUUCGCCCCGCGCCCCAGCGAGCGAGGGAGCGAGCGCUCCUCGGACUCGGGUGGAGGAAGGCACGGAAAAGUAUACUGGAGACAAAGUGGGGCUUUUCGGGGUGGCGGUGAUGCAGAAGGAGGGAGUGGAGGGUCCACAAAUCAGUCCGUUUUUAGAGCGAUCCUGGGUAGGAGCCGCAAUACAUGUCACGCUUCCUUUUAAAGAGGGGGUGGACUGUGAGAUGCAGGUAGGUCUGGGAUUAAAAUGAUACGUGCGGAGGUUUAACGCUGAGCUCGCUGCAUCCGAUAUAAAGGAGCAACACUGGCUGAGCCCCAGUCAACCACCAGCAAGAUUACUGGGAACAAGAAUAUUUACACCCCCACCACCACCACCACCUCUGACAGGGUCCCUGGGACUAUGGAUACAGCAGCUAUUUAAAAGUAUAUGUUACAAACAUUAUCUCGCUCAGUGUCCCCAGACCGACUCAGGAGCGCAGUCCAACACUGGAUUUACACGAUUUUGACACCUGGGUAACAAAGUUUAAAGUUUAUUAGGCAAGACAUAUCAAACGCUAGAAUCUCAGACUCCAACUUGAAACCGAAGAAAGUUCAUUUUGGCUUGACUUUCUGAGAUGAGAAAUACCCAGCACGGGUUCUCUAGAUAAGGCAGCUCUGGGCUUUGCAAGGUAACAGACGCUGAAGAGAGAGCCUCCAGCCACAGAGAGAAGAUGCCUUUCGCUGGGGACAGUAAACGGCUUUUAAUAAAGCAGGCGAGUUUAUCACUUAAAGAUCCUAUAAAAGCUAGGGCUCGCAGGAGCUGGGAAGUAGAAACUUUCAUGCCUACUCCAGUAGAUGCAUGUUUUUUAGGUUGAACGGGGACCAGCAGUUUUCCUGCGUCCCUCACAUUUAGUCAGAUCAAAGGUUGAAUCGUGUGUUGUGACAAGAGUAUUUAUGAGGUUCGUUGCUAGAACCCCAGGCUGGCUGGCUAUUACCACCAUCUUCUGCGACGGGGGGGGGGGGGGACACCACGCCUUUCUAGGACAUUUACAAUUUCAGCUUCAGGUUCAUCAAACUGUGAAGAGAUAGGAAGUCUCCUCUUUGAAUCAGAACAGCGGUGUUAGUAUGUCACAGUGUAUACUCUGUGGGAAACUUUAGGCACGGAAUUCAAACGUUAAGAAGAGGAGGAGGAAGAGGAGGAGGAAUAAUAAGGUCAACCAGGUUGGUGUCAGCAAUAAGAAAGGCUUUCAGGAGCAUCACCAGCCCUCUGCAGGCCCUUUCCCGCCCCCAGACACCCCUCCCUCCACCGUGCAAAUGCUCACCCUCACACUCAUGCCUCCAGCGAUCGCUAGGCUAGUGUAUCCAGUGUUCUAAUGGGGACGUGACAGUUUAGGCUGGGAACUGAAAUGGCUCCCAACAUGCCCAUGAGCUGCAGUGUGGAAUAAUAAUGCUUCUAUUGGUUGGGUCCCUUUCGAGGGAGGAGGAGGAGGAGCAGGAGGAGGAGGAGGAGGAGGAAGAGGAAGAAGAGGAGCAGGAGGUGGAGGAGUCGUCGUCUUCCUCCGCGCUGCUAAAUAACUAAGGCAGCCAAUCAGGGCUGGCAGACUCGGCGCGUGGCGGGUCAGGCGCUGUGCCGCAGACUUGUGGCUUCUCGCUUGAUGCUUUCCCGUCUCCAUCGCGAUCCCCUUACCACUGGCGUUUAGUUUUCAGAGUGCUAUUUUUCUUUCUUCAUCGGGGCUCUGUGUGGCUUGGUCUUAAGGCCCUGGGUGCCACUUAAAAAAAAAAAAUCUUCUUUACAAAUAUCCUAAAGAUUAAAUGAUUUUGAUUGGCAAAUUUAUUUCGUUUUAUUUUGGUGGAGUUGGAAAAGAGGGGAAUUCAUGCUCUCGUCAAUAUACUCCCUAGUCGGAACUGGGUGUUGGGGUCAGUUUGAACGGAGGUGGAGCUGAAUUGGGUCCAUUCUGUAGGAAAAAGUUCUGGGGCAGACACUGAACAGCAGGAAGGAAACAAGGCCCCCAGUGGCUCCUUUGCUCUUCCCUGGGCCCCCUGUAUGCCUUACCUGGUCUCGGUGAGAUAGUCUUUUCUUUUGUGUGUCUGCAUGUUACCAGGGACUGAGCCUCUCUUUGUUUUUAAAUUUUGA